RNAcentral lists this ribosomal RNA (501 nucleotides) under uncultured Chlamydiae bacterium. RNAcentral describes it as "bacterial SSU rRNA". It matches the Rfam family "Bacterial small subunit ribosomal RNA", at positions 404 to 896 of the family's 1533-position model. The record is from RNAcentral. Lineage: Bacteria; Pseudomonadati; Chlamydiota; Chlamydiia.
AGUGAUGAAGGCCUUCGGGUCGUAAAACUCUUUUGCCUGUGAACAAGAAAGAUUCGUGAAUAACGAGUCAAUUUGAGAGUAGCAGGAGAAAAAGCACCGGCUAACUACGUGCCAGCAGCUGCGGUAAUACGUAGGGUGCAAGCAUUAAUCGGAAUUAUUGGGCGUAAAGGGCGCGUAGGCGGAUUGAUAAGUCAGAUGUGAAAUACCAAAGCUCAACUUUGGUGCUGCAUUUGAAACUGUCUCUCUAGAGGAUUGACGGAGAAAGGGGAAUUCCACGUGUAGCGGUGAAAUGCGUAGAUACGUGGAGGAACACCGGUGGCGAAAGCGCCUUUCUAGUUUAGACCUGACGCUGAGGCGCGAGAGCAAGGGGAGCAAACAGGAUUAGAUACCCUGGUAGUCCUUGUCGUAAACGAUGUUUACUUGAUGUAGUUAGGCUCAACCCUGACUGUGUCGUAGCUAACGCGAUAAGUAAACCGCCUGAGGAGUACGCUCGCAAGGGUG